AAAUGCGAUAAGUAAUGUGAAUUGCAGAAUUCAGUGAAUCAUCGAAUCUUUGAACGCACCUUGCGCUCCUUGGUAUUCCUUGGAGCAUGCCUGUUUGAGUAUCAUGAAAUCUUCAAAGUAAAUCUUUUGUUAACUCAAUUGGUUUCUACUUUGGUAUUGGAGGUCUUUGCAGCUUCACACCUGCUCCUCUUUGUUCAUUAGCUGGAUCUCAGUGUUAUGCUUGGUUCCACUCGGCGUGAUAAGUUAUCUAUCGCUGAGGACACUGUAAAAGGUGGCCAAGGUAAAUGCAGAUGAACCGCUUCUAAUAGUCCAUUGACUUGGACAAUACUUUUAUGAUCUGAUCUCAAAUCAGGUAGGACAACCCGCUGAACUUAAGC
RNAcentral lists this unclassified non-coding RNA (377 nucleotides) under plant metagenome. RNAcentral's name for it is "partial contains 5.8S ribosomal RNA, internal transcribed spacer 2, and large subunit ribosomal RNA". The stretch from base 1 to 104 matches the Rfam family "5.8S ribosomal RNA", at positions 51 to 154 of the family's 154-position model. The record is from RNAcentral.